UUUAUGGAGAGUUUGAUCCUGGCUCAGAGUGAACGCUGGCGGCGUGCCUAAUACAUGCAAGUCGAACGAUGAAGCUUCUAGCUUGCUAGAAGUGGAUUAGUGGCGCACGGGUGAGUAACGCAUAGGUCAUGUGCCUCUUAGUUUGGGAUAGCCAUUGGAAACGAUGAUUAAUACCAGAUACUCCCUACGGGGGAAAGAUUUAUCGCUAAGAGAUCAGCCUAUGUCCUAUCAGCUUGUUGGUAAGGUAAUGGCUUACCAAGGCUAUGACGGGUAUCCGGCCUGAGAGGGUGAACGGACACACUGGAACUGAGACACGGUCCAGACUCCUACGGGAGGCAGCAGUAGGGAAUAUUGCUCAAUGGGGGAAACCCUGAAGCAGCAACGCCGCGUGGAGGAUGAAGGUUUUAGGAUUGUAAACUCCUUUUGUUAGAGAAGAUAAUGACGGUAUCUAACGAAUAAGCACCGGCUAACUCCGUGCCAGCAGCCGCGGUAAUACGGAGGGUGCAAGCGUUACUCGGAAUCACUGGGCGUAAAGAGCGCGUAGGCGGGAUAGUCAGUCAGGUGUGAAAUCCUAUGGCUUAACCAUAGAACUGCAUUUGAAACUACUAUUCUAGAGUGUGGGAGAGGUAGGUGGAAUUCUUGGUGUAGGGGUAAAAUCCGUAGAGAUCAAGAGGAAUACUCAUUGCGAAGGCGACCUGCUGGAACAUUACUGACGCUGAUUGCGCGAAAGCGUGGGGAGCAAACAGGAUUAGAUACCCUGGUAGUCCACGCCCUAAACGAUGGAUGCUAGUUGUUGGAGGGCUUAGUCUCUCCAGUAAUGCAGCUAACGCAUUAAGCAUCCCGCCUGGGGAGUACGGUCGCAAGAUUAAAACUCAAAGGAAUAGACGGGGACCCGCACAAGCGGUGGAGCAUGUGGUUUAAUUCGAAGAUACACGAAGAACCUUACCUAGGCUUGACAUUGAGAGAAUCCGCUAGAAAUAGUGGAGUGUCUGGCUUGCUAGACCUUGAAAACAGGUGCUGCACGGCUGUCGUCAGCUCGUGUCGUGAGAUGUUGGGUUAAGUCCCGCAACGAGCGCAACCCCCUUUCUUAGUUGCUAACAGGUCAUGCUGAGAACUCUAAGGAUACUGCCUCCGUAAGGAGGAGGAAGGUGGGGACGACGUCAAGUCAUCAUGGCCCUUACGCCUAGGGCUACACACGUGCUACAAUGGGGUGCACAAAGAGAAGCAAUACUGCGAAGUGGAGCCAAUCUUCAAAACACCUCUCAGUUCGGAUUGUAGGCUGCAACUCGCCUGCAUGAAGCUGGAAUCGCUAGUAAUCGCAAAUCAGCCAUGUUGCGGUGAAUACGUUCCCGGGUCUUGUACUCACCGCCCGUCACACCAUGGGAGUUGUGUUUGCCUUAAGUCAGGAUGCUAAAUUAGCUACUGCCCACGGCACACACAGCGACUGGGGUGAAGUCGUAACAAGGUAACCGUAGGUGAACCUGCGGUUGGAUCACCUCCUUU
This 1503-nucleotide ribosomal RNA is filed under the name Helicobacter pylori. Its description in RNAcentral is "bacterial SSU rRNA". It matches the Rfam family "Bacterial small subunit ribosomal RNA". The record is from RNAcentral. Lineage: Bacteria; Pseudomonadati; Campylobacterota; Epsilonproteobacteria; Campylobacterales; Helicobacteraceae.